Molecule: ribosomal RNA, 253 nt
Filed under: uncultured prokaryote
Description: partial 16S ribosomal RNA
Rfam family: Bacterial small subunit ribosomal RNA
Source: RNAcentral
UACAGAGGGUGCAAGCGUUAAUCGGAAUUACUGGGCGUAAAGCGCGCGUAGGUGGUUCGUUAAGUUGGAUGUGAAAUCCCCGGGCCUAACCUGGGAACUGCAUUUGUGACUGCAUAGCUAGAGUCUGUCAGAGGGGGGUGGAAUUCCACGUGUAGCAGUGAAAUGCGUAGAGAUGUGGAGGAACACCGAUGGCGAAGGCAGCCCCCUGGGAUAAGACUGACGCUCAUGUACGAAAGCGUGGGGAGCAAACAGG